CCCAUCCAUGCCUUCCAACUUGAGUUAACUGCAGCCUGCAGGCCCCCUGCGUGGCCUUGUCUCCUGGGCCCACGCGUCCCCAGGGCUCAAGCGCAGGGCACGAGGGUGCAACAGCGCCAACGAGUCACGUGCAAGGCUGUUUGUCUUCCAGCGCACGCAGGCCUGCACCGCUGGCCUCAACUUCUCAGCCGCAGCUUCAUUCCGGAGCCCCGGAGCCCACAGGUCACGGUCCGAGGGCUUCUCCCCGUUCUGGGGCCCAGCACGUCCUCCCAAGUCAGCCUCUGCGCGCCCCUGAGGGUGACCCCGCUGCCGGAAGGCUGCAGCCCCGCGCAGGGGCAGUGGUGGCUCGGGGGGCCGGGCUCCCGCCGUUGCACACGCAGCACUCGCGGUGCUCGGUGCACCCAGAGGUCGGCGGAGCCCGGCCGCGCGCUGCGGCGCUUGCGCAUCAGGUCCCACCUGCGCAGCGGCUUCCCGCACCUGCGCAGCGGCUUCCCGCACCCGCAGCCUGACCCGGCGCGCGACGACUUCUCCGGGUUCGACUCCGACCGACUCCUCGGUCUUAGGAGUUGGCCGCGGCGUCCAGGAGCCCGGCAGCGCCUUGUCCUCGUCCUUGCUUGCGGGGCCUGCGGUGGUCCUGCUGGGGCAUCCUCUGGGCCAUUCCCUGAAGCGGCCGGGGGCGGGGGNNNNNNNNNNNNNNNNNNNNNNNNNNNNNNNNNNNNNNNNNNNNNNNNNNNNNNNNNNNNNNNNNNNNNNNNNNNNNNNNNNNNNNNNNNNUCACCGCGCUGUGGCUGCUGCAGCUGUUCCUGCUGCUCAGGCCCGGGCACCCGCCUGCCCGCCGUCCUCCUUCUAUGCGGGGCCGUCUCCUCCCGGCACGAAGCGUAUCAGGAUGGCCUCAUGCUCCUCCAGGCCUCCAGAGAACUGUCUUAUUUGUCCCCUUUGAAGACAAAUGUUCUUGAGCACUGGUUGAACUAGAUUUUCAGGCCAGGUCAAGGCCCAGUUCUUGGUGGUGCUAUCUUACUGCCACCUAUUCCAUGGCACACCCUCCAGAUAAGUCCCUUUGUCCAGUUACCAGCUACUGGUUUAGGUACAUCUGUCCCAUGAAUUAGUUGGGUAUCAUAGUAUCUUAAAGUCUCCUGAAAACUCUCUAAUAAUGUGUUUAAUUUCUCAGUAAUUUUCUUUCAUUGGCCUCUUUUUAUUAAAAGCUAGACAUAUAAUGGAUGCAUAACUUACUUUUGGCUUCCUAAUAUUCAUUGUUUGACUUGGCCAUCAACAUAUUGAAGGAAGAUAUUAAUUAAAACAGCCAGAUUGUGUUGACCUAAAAAAUACCAAAAGGAUUUUGAAUAACUUUCUGGUGUCCAUCUCUAAAUAAUUGAGAAGGAAAAGAUAGCUUUAUUGUGUGAAACCCUUUCAGAAGCAGAGGUCAUCUGGUGACCUCUUUUAGCUAUAUGACCUCUUGACACCAUGAUUUAUGAGUUGUCUUGGGUCUAUUUAAGUUGUUGGAUGUAACAUAUAAAUACGUAUCUAGCUAAUACAUCAGUCAUUUGCAUCCUCUGGGCCAAUUUUCUGUUGAAAACUGCCACAUUUAACGUAAUGACUUGAAAAUUAAAUGUAAAUAUAAUAAUUGAAAUAUAUCAAAUACUUAGUAGAGUGUGGCUUUAUAAAAUGAUUUUAAUUUAAUCUCUCAUCUUAUUAAAACUUUUUAUUGUGAAAAAUUUCAAACAUACGUAAAAGUAGGAGAAAUGGCAUAAUGAAAUCCAUUGUUCAGCUUCAAUAAUUAUCAGCAUAUUGUUAUACUUGUUUUAUCUGUAUAUCCCCACCUGAUCCCAUGGUGUUUUUUUUUUUAUUAUACUUUUAUUUAGGUAUAGUACAAUACAUACAUACAAUAAAAAUCACCCAUUGUAAGUGAAUGCA
This is a long non-coding RNA of Vulpes vulpes (red fox), 1911 nucleotides long. Lineage: Eukaryota; Metazoa; Chordata; Mammalia; Carnivora; Canidae. The record is from Ensembl.